GAUGAACGCUGGCGGCGUGCCUAAUACAUGCAAGUCGAACGAAACUUCUUUAUCACCGAGUGCUUGCACUCACCGAUAAAGAGUUGAGUGGCGAACGGGUGAGUAACACGUGGGCAACCUGCCCAAAAGAGGGGGAUAACACUGGGAAACAGGUGCUAAUACCGCAUAACCAUAGUUACCGCAUGGUAACUAUGUAAAAGGUGGCUAUACUACCGCUUCUGGAUGGGCCCGCGGCGCAUUAGCUAGUUGGUAGGGUAAAGGCUUACCAAGGCAAUGAUGCGUAGCCGAAUUGAGAGGUUGAUCGGCCACAUUGGGACUGAGACACGGCCCAAACUCCUACGGGAGGCAGCAGUAGGGAAUCUUCCGCAAUGGGCGAAAGCCUGAUGGAGCAACGCCGCGUGGGUGAAGAAGGUCUUCGGAUCGUAAAACCCUGUUGUUAGAGAAGAAAGUGCGUGAGAGUAACUGUUCACGUUUCGACGGUAUCUAACCAGAAAGCCACGGCUAACUACGUG
Molecule: ribosomal RNA, 512 nt
Filed under: uncultured bacterium
Lineage: Bacteria
Description: partial 16S ribosomal RNA
Rfam family: Bacterial small subunit ribosomal RNA
Source: RNAcentral